RNAcentral lists this ribosomal RNA (465 nucleotides) under uncultured bacterium. Its description in RNAcentral is "partial 16S ribosomal RNA". It matches the Rfam family "Bacterial small subunit ribosomal RNA", at positions 338 to 795 of the family's 1533-position model. The record is from RNAcentral.
CCUACGGGAGGCAGCAGUGGGGAAUAUUGCGCAAUGGGCGAAAGCCUGACGCAGCGACGUCGCGUGAGGGAUGAAGGUCUUCGGAUCGUUAACCUCUGUCAGCAGGGAAGCACGGUCACUGUGCUAAUCAGCAGUGAAUUGACGGUACCUGCAAAGGAAGCACCGGCUAACUCCGUGCCAGCAGCCGCGGUAAUACGGAGGGUGCGAGCGUUAAUCGGAAUUACUGGGCGUAAAGCGCUCGUAGGCGGUAUGUCAAGUCAAGGGUGAAAUCCCCGCGCUCAACGUGGGAACUGCCUUUGAAACUGGCGAGCUGGAGUGUGUGAGAGGAUAGUGGAAUUCGAGGUGUAGGAGUGAAAUGCGUAGAUAUCUGGAGGAACAUCGGUGGCGAAGGCGACUAUCUGGCACAUGACUGACGCUGAGGAGCGAAAGCGUGGGUAGCAAACAGGAUUAGAUACCCCUGUAGUC